CAGUACCACGGUAAUACAGAGGGUGCAAGCGUUAAUCGGAAUUACUGGGCGUAAAGCGCGCGUAGGUGGUUUGUUAAGUUGGAUGUGAAAGCCCCGGGCUCAACCUGGGAACUGCAUCCAAAACUGGCAAGCUAGAGUACGGUAGAGGGUGGUGGAAUUUCCUGUGUAGCGGUGAAAUGCGUAGAUAUAGGAAGGAACACCAGUGGCGAAGGCGACCACCUGGACUGAUACUGACACUGAGGUGCGAAAGCGUGGGGAGCAAACAGGAUUAGAUACCCCAGUAGUCCCUGUCUCUUAUACA
Molecule: ribosomal RNA, 301 nt
Filed under: uncultured bacterium
Lineage: Bacteria
Description: partial 16S ribosomal RNA
Rfam family: Bacterial small subunit ribosomal RNA
Source: RNAcentral